UCAGGAUCUCGUGGUUCAUGAGUUCGAGCCCCGCUUUGGGUGAGCCCUGCUUUUCUCCCCACCUCACCCCUGCCCCUCAUGGGAUUCUCUCUCUUUGUCUGCUCCCCUCGCUCACUUGUGCCCUCUCUCUCUCAAAAUAGAUAGAGGCCUCUCUCUCAAGGCCACUGACUUGGCCUUGAAAGCUCAAAGCUCUCCAACAGACGUGGGCAGAUUCGGCCUCUGUCUCUCCCUCGCAGCUGGGCCGGCCCCGUGUCGCACCGGGCUCCAGGACCGGUGACAAUGGACAACGCAUCUUCAUCCUGACUUGUGUGGCAGAAAGCAGAGGAACCUCUGUGGCCUACAGCCGGAUGCCUCUGGGACCCCGGACCGCUGUGUCCCGCGGAGGGUCUGUCCUCGGUGUCUCCUUGAGGCCCCGGGGACAGUGCUGUGGCCUUCACCUGCGCAGUCCAGGACGCAGUCAGUAACAGCGGCUCCCUCCCCGUCUCAGCGCCGCCCUUGUGUGCAGGGCCAGGGAUCCUGGGAGAGGACACGGUCGGGGAGACAGUGUUCGGACCCGGAGGCAAACCAAUCCUGGCUGCUGGGACUUAGGGACCUUAGAGCGAACGACUGUGUGUCCUCUCUGCAGAUCAGGUCCCCAAGGCUGCAGGGCCCUGGCCCCUCCGGAGCCUGGAUAACUCUGCCUAUUUGUCAACGCCACCAAGGAUUUCACCCUGCGGAGAGAAGCCGCGGGAGCCCGAUAUCACUGCCGGUUCCCGGAUGGCGAAGGGUGGGGCCCGCUGUGUCCCCCUGACGGGCUCCCUGCGACAGGCCGGAGAGGACGUGCGGUACAGUCGGGCCCCGCUCGGCCGGGUGGCGGGGGUGGGGGACCACUCUCACGUCACCUGGACUUCUGGGGUCGGCGACAGUUAUCGCUGCACGGCCAGGAGCCGGUCAGUCAGAGCUCGGGCUCAGUCCCCACCGGGCGCCUCUGCGCAGGUAACCCCCUCCUGUGAGCCCCCUCCUUGACAGCCUGGGCCUAGGUCCUUAGCAUCCCCACCUGGCUUCCUGGGGACUCCAGGGCUGGUCGAGGAAAAGGCGGGC
Molecule: long non-coding RNA, 1080 nt
Filed under: Felis catus (domestic cat)
Lineage: Eukaryota; Metazoa; Chordata; Mammalia; Carnivora; Felidae
Description: lncRNA (ENSFCAG00000048905.1)
Source: RNAcentral